Molecule: ribosomal RNA, 484 nt
Filed under: uncultured bacterium
Lineage: Bacteria
Description: partial 16S ribosomal RNA
Rfam family: Bacterial small subunit ribosomal RNA
Source: RNAcentral
AUUGAACGCUGGCGGCAGGCCUAACACAUGCAAGUCGAGCGGAUGAAGGGAGCUUGCUCCUGGAUUCAGCGGCGGACGGGUGAGUAAUGCCUAGGAAUCUGCCUGGUAGUGGGGGAUAACGUCCGGAAACGGGCGCUAAUACCGCAUACGUCCUGAGGGUGAAAGUGGGGGAUCUUCGGACCUCACGCUAUCAGAUGAGCCUAGGUCGGAUUAGCUAGUUGGUUGGGUAAAGGCCUACCAAGGCGACGAUCCGUAACUGGUCUGAGAGGAUGAUCAGUCACACUGGAACUGAGACACGGACCAGACUCCUACGGGAGGCAGCAGUGGGGAAUAUUAGACAAUGGGCGAAAGCCUGAUCCAGCCAUGCCGCGUGUGUGAAGAAGGUCUUCGGAUUGUAAAGCACUUUAAGUUGGGAGGAAGGGCAGUAAGUUAAUACCUUGCUGUUUUGACGUUACCAACAGAAUAAGCACCGGCUAACUUCGUG